This 1448-nucleotide ribosomal RNA is filed under the name Limosilactobacillus fermentum. Its description in RNAcentral is "bacterial SSU rRNA". It matches the Rfam family "Bacterial small subunit ribosomal RNA". The record is from RNAcentral. Lineage: Bacteria; Bacillati; Bacillota; Bacilli; Lactobacillales; Lactobacillaceae.
UGCAGUCGAACGCGUUGGCCCAAUUGAUUGAUGGUGCUUGCACCUGAUUGAUUUUGGUCGCCAACGAGUGGCGGACGGGUGAGUAACACGUAGGUAACCUGCCCAGAAGCGGGGGACAACAUUUGGAAACAGAUGCUAAUACCGCAUAACAGCGUUGUUCGCAUGAACAACGCUUAAAAGAUGGCUUCUCGCUAUCACUUCUGGAUGGACCUGCGGUGCAUUAGCUUGUUGGUGGGGUAACGGCCUACCAAGGCGAUGAUGCAUAGCCGAGUUGAGAGACUGAUCGGCCACAAUGGGACUGAGACACGGCCCAUACUCCUACGGGAGGCAGCAGUAGGGAAUCUUCCACAAUGGGCGCAAGCCUGAUGGAGCAACACCGCGUGAGUGAAGAAGGGUUUCGGCUCGUAAAGCUCUGUUGUUAAAGAAGAACACGUAUGAGAGUAACUGUUCAUACGUUGACGGUAUUUAACCAGAAAGUCACGGCUAACUACGUGCCAGCAGCCGCGGUAAUACGUAGGUGGCAAGCGUUAUCCGGAUUUAUUGGGCGUAAAGAGAGUGCAGGCGGUUUUCUAAGUCUGAUGUGAAAGCCUUCGGCUUAACCGGAGAAGUGCAUCGGAAACUGGAUAACUUGAGUGCAGAAGAGGGUAGUGGAACUCCAUGUGUAGCGGUGGAAUGCGUAGAUAUAUGGAAGAACACCAGUGGCGAAGGCGGCUACCUGGUCUGCAACUGACGCUGAGACUCGAAAGCAUGGGUAGCGAACAGGAUUAGAUACCCUGGUAGUCCAUGCCGUAAACGAUGAGUGCUAGGUGUUGGAGGGUUUCCGCCCUUCAGUGCCGGAGCUAACGCAUUAAGCACUCCGCCUGGGGAGUACGACCGCAAGGUUGAAACUCAAAGGAAUUGACGGGGGCCCGCACAAGCGGUGGAGCAUGUGGUUUAAUUCGAAGCUACGCGAAGAACCUUACCAGGUCUUGACAUCUUGCGCCAACCCUAGAGAUAGGGCGUUUCCUUCGGGAACGCAAUGACAGGUGGUGCAUGGUCGUCGUCAGCUCGUGUCGUGAGAUGUUGGGUUAAGUCCCGCAACGAGCGCAACCCUUGUUACUAGUUGCCAGCAUUAAGUUGGGCACUCUAGUGAGACUGCCGGUGACAAACCGGAGGAAGGUGGGGACGACGUCAGAUCAUCAUGCCCCUUAUGACCUGGGCUACACACGUGCUACAAUGGACGGUACAACGAGUCGCGAACUCGCGAGGGCAAGCAAAUCUCUUAAAACCGUUCUCAGUUCGGACUGCAGGCUGCAACUCGCCUGCACGAAGUCGGAAUCGCUAGUAAUCGCGGAUCAGCAUGCCGCGGUGAAUACGUUCCCGGGCCUUGUACACACCGCCCGUCACACCAUGAGAGUUUGUAACAUCCAAAGUCGGUGGGGUAACCUUUUAGGAGCCAGCCGCCUAAU